AUUGAACGCUGGCGGCAUGCUUUACACAUGCAAGUCGAACGGCAGCGCGGGCUUCGGCUUGGCGGCGGGUGGCGAACGGGGAAGGAAUGCAUAAGAAGUUGCCCACUAGUGGGGUAUAGCCGGGCGAAAGCCGGAUUAAGAGCGCAUAACACCAUAGGCUGGAACCGGGGGACGGAAAGGCCGCGCACUAUUUUAUCUCGCGGUGUCGGGUUAGCUAGUUGGUGGGGCAAAGUCGUGCGAAGGCGGCGAUCCGUAGCGGGUCUGAGAGGACGACCAGCCACACUGGGACUGCGGCACGGCCGAGACUCCUACGGGAGGCAGCAGUGGUGAAUUUUGGACAAUGGGGGCAACCCUGAUGCAGCCAUGCCGCGUGCGGGAAGAAGGCCUUCGGCUUGUUAACCGCUUUUGUUCGGGAAGAAAUACUCUGGGCUCAUACCCCGGGGGGAUGACGGUACCGGAAGAAUAAGCACCGGCUAACUACGUG
This 484-nucleotide ribosomal RNA is filed under the name uncultured bacterium. Its description in RNAcentral is "partial 16S ribosomal RNA". It matches the Rfam family "Bacterial small subunit ribosomal RNA", at positions 28 to 507 of the family's 1533-position model. The record is from RNAcentral.